UCCCAGAUCGUCUAAUGGUUUAAGAUUCGGCCCUCUCACGGCCGCGAUCGGGGUUCGAUUCCCCGUCUGGGAG
Molecule: non-coding RNA, 73 nt
Organism: Cladochytrium tenue
Lineage: Eukaryota; Fungi; Chytridiomycota; Chytridiomycetes; Cladochytriales; Cladochytriaceae
Source: the annotation of a GenBank genome assembly